UAAUACGUAGGGGGCGAGCGUUGUCCGGAAUCAUUGGGCGUAAAGCGCGUGUAGGCGGCUUGGCAAGUCUUGCGUGAAAUCCUGCGGCUCAACCGCAGGCCUGCGCGGGAUACUGCCUCGCUAGAGUCCGGAAGAGGAGAGUGGAAUUCCCAGUGUAGCGGUGGAAUGCGCAGAUAUUGGGAGGAACACCCGUGGCGAAGGCGGCUCUCUGGGACGGUACUGACGCUGAGACGCGAAAGCGUGGGGAGCGAACAGGAUUAGAUACCCUGGUAGUCCACGCCGUAAACGAUGGGCGCUAGGUGUGGGCGGUGUCGACUCCGUCCGUGCCGAAGCUAACGCAUUAAGCGCCCCGCCUGGGGAGUACGGUCGCAAGACUA
This 377-nucleotide ribosomal RNA is filed under the name uncultured bacterium. Its description in RNAcentral is "bacterial SSU rRNA". It matches the Rfam family "Bacterial small subunit ribosomal RNA", at positions 521 to 896 of the family's 1533-position model. The record is from RNAcentral.